GGCGAACGCUGGCGGCAGGCCUAACACAUGCAAGUCGAACGAACUCUUCGGAGUUAGUGGCGGACGGGUGAGUAACACGUGGGAACGUGCCUUUAGGUUCGGAAUAACUCAGGGAAACUUGUGCUAAUACCGAAUGUGCCCUUCGGGGGAAAGAUUUAUCGCCUUUAGAGCGGCCCGCGUCUGAUUAGCUAGUUGGUGAGGUAACGGCUCACCAAGGCGACGAUCAGUAGCUGGUCUGAGAGGAUGGCAACCCACACUGGGACUGAAACGCGGCCCAGCCUCCUACGGGAGGCAGGAGGGGGGAAUCUUGCGCAAUGGGCGAAAGCCUGACGCAGCCAUGCCGCGUGAAUGAUGAAGGUCUUAGGAUUGUAAAAUUCCUUCACCGGGGACGAUAAUGACGGUACCCGGAGAAGAAGCCCCGGCUAACUUCGUGCCAGCCGCCGCCGUAA
Molecule: ribosomal RNA, 449 nt
Filed under: uncultured bacterium
Lineage: Bacteria
Description: partial 16S ribosomal RNA
Rfam family: Bacterial small subunit ribosomal RNA
Source: RNAcentral